GCCACAGAAGAAAACUUUGUGAAGACAAGAAAGAUGCUUAUCUAUAAACCAAGUAAAGAAACCUGCAAAAGAAACCAACCCUGGAGACACCAUGGUCUUGAACUUCUAGCCUCAGAACUGGAUUUCAAUUUUCUGAUUGAAGUUCAGCCAUGAGAGUUGGCCCAGUUAAAGCAGAAGCUGCGGGAAGGAAAAGACGCUUCUUUCUUCAUCAAUAGGCAUCUCAAGGACCUCUUCACCCAGCAUGAUCCUGAGAACCAUCGAGAGUCACUGGCUGAGGAGGGCAGGCUGGCAAACAAUAUCUUGUUCACAAGCAGAGCCCAGAAUAUGAGGAGGAGGAGGAGGAUAAAGAAGAAGGAGAGCCACUGGAUUACACAUAACAAUGAAUGACCAAAGACAAUAAGCAAGGGUAAUACAAUGGGGUUUGGGUAUUCUAAAAUACACAACAUGAGGCCAAAAGUAGCUGCAUAUUCCAUAAUCAAAGGUAAAAUAAGCUUCUGAUUGCCUGAUGUUGUUCAUUCAACUAAAGAUGACAGUCUUUUUUUCAUUUUAUAUGACAGCAGAAUGCAUUAGAAUUCAUAUUACACAUAUAGAGCACAAUUUUUCAUAUCUCUGGUUGUAUACAAAGUAUAUUCACACCAUUCAUGUCUUCAUACAUGUACUAAGGGUAAUAUCUAUCCCAUUCCACCAGACAUAGUCCUUUUAACCAGGUUAUGAAUUUCAUUUAUGCUAGUUGUAGAAUGAGUCUGUCCAAGGGGAACAAGCAGUGGUUGUUGUUGUUGUUGUUGUUAGAUAUACGUAACAGUAGAGUGUAUUUUGAUGUAUCAUACAUACAUGAAGUGCAACCUAUUCCAAUUAAGAUCCUAUUCUUGUGAUUGUACAUAAAUACCAGUGAGUAUUUUCACUGGUCAUGUGUUCAUAUAUAAACAUAGGAAAGUUGUGUCUAAUUCAUUCUACU
Ictidomys tridecemlineatus (thirteen-lined ground squirrel) is the source of this 955-nucleotide non-coding RNA. The record is from RefSeq and is a predicted model, not a curated record. Lineage: Eukaryota; Metazoa; Chordata; Mammalia; Rodentia; Sciuridae.